UGGGGAAUUGUUCGCAAUGGGCGCAAGCCUGACGACGCAACGCCGCGUGGGGGAUGAAGGUCUUCGGAUUAUAAACCCCUGUCGAAUGGGACGAAAGACCCGGGAGCUAAUCAUCCUGGGAGUGACGGUACCGUUAAAGGAAGCCACGGCUAACUCUGUGCCAGCAGCCGCGGUAAUACAGAGGUGGCAAGCGUUGUUCGGAAUUAUUGGGUUUAAAGGGUGCGUAGGCGGUGCUUUAAGUCAGUGGUGAAAUACGUCAGCUUAACUGGCGAGGUGCCAUUGAUACUGGAGCACUUGAGUACUGAUGAGGUAGGCGGAAUGGACGGUGUAGCGGUGAAAUGCUUAGAUAUCGUCCAGAACACCGAUAGCGAAGGCAGCUUACUAAGGAGUAACUGACGCUGAGGCACGAAAGUGUGGGGAUCAAA
This 425-nucleotide ribosomal RNA is filed under the name uncultured bacterium. Its description in RNAcentral is "bacterial SSU rRNA". It matches the Rfam family "Bacterial small subunit ribosomal RNA", at positions 355 to 772 of the family's 1533-position model. The record is from RNAcentral.